RNAcentral lists this ribosomal RNA (180 nucleotides) under uncultured Glomeromycotina. RNAcentral's name for it is "partial small subunit ribosomal RNA". The stretch from base 38 to 180 matches the Rfam family "Eukaryotic small subunit ribosomal RNA", at positions 685 to 830 of the family's 1831-position model. The record is from RNAcentral. Lineage: Eukaryota; Fungi; Glomeromycota.
GGAUCAGACUGUCGGUCGUGCCUCGGUACGCACUGGCAUUAUUGGUUCCUACCUUCUGAAGAACCGCGAUGUCAUUAAUUUGGUGUCGUGGGGAAUCAGGACUGUUACUUUGAAAAAAUUAGAGUGUUUAAAGCAGGCUAUCGCUUGAAUACAUUAGCAUGGAAUAAUAGAAUAGGACUU